UACUACCGAUUCGAGACUCUCCAGGAUGAGGAGGCUGACCGUCGGACCUUCGAGGAGGUGGCCACAUGGAGGUUCCGAGAUAGCCUCUACAGCCUCGGUAAUCCACCAUUCAGCACACCAAUUCUCCAUCACCAUCGGACUAGAGAUUCUUCAUGGAUCACUGGAUGUGGGCAGACAUAUGGCCGGCCCUUUACGAUCAAUGGAGUAGCAAAAAAUACUCUGAUAGGUGAUAGAGGGCUCGACAGAAUCAGACCAUCCAGCA
This 262-nucleotide long non-coding RNA is filed under the name Elaeis guineensis (African oil palm). RNAcentral describes it as "long non-coding RNA (EGUI_LNC032454)". The record is from RNAcentral. Lineage: Eukaryota; Viridiplantae; Streptophyta; Magnoliopsida; Arecales; Arecaceae.